This 86-nucleotide small RNA is filed under the name Microtus ochrogaster (prairie vole). RNAcentral describes it as "sRNA (ENSMOCG00000010575.1)". Lineage: Eukaryota; Metazoa; Chordata; Mammalia; Rodentia; Cricetidae. The record is from RNAcentral.
GGCUCUGUCCUCCUGGACAUGCCGAAAGGCCGAUGCUGGGACCUUCUCCUGAAGGCAGCCUCUUACUAAGCCUGGUCCCCAGCAUC